GACGAACGCUGGCGGCGUGCUUAAUACAUGCAAGUCGAACGGAAAGGCCCUGCUUUUGUGGGGUGCUCGAGUGGCGAACGGGUGAGUAACACGUGAGUAACCUGCCCUUGACUUUGGGAUAACUUCAGGAAACUGGGGCUAAUACCGGAUAGGAUCUCCUGCUGCAUGGUGGGGGUUGGAUAGUUUCGGCGGUUGGGGAUGGACUCGCGGCUUAUCAGCUUGUUGGUGGGGUAGUGGCUUACCAAAGCUUUGACGGGUAGCCGGCCUGAGAGGGUGACCGGCCACAUUGGGACUGAGAUACGGCCCAGACUCCUACGGGAGGCAGCAGUGGGGAAUAUUGCACAAUGGGCGGAAGCCUGAUGCAGCAACGCAGCGUGCGGGAUGACGGCCUUCGGGUUGUAAACAGCUUUCGCCUGUGACGAAGCGUGAGUGACGGUAAUGGGUAAAGAAGCACCGGCUAACUACGUG
Molecule: ribosomal RNA, 468 nt
Filed under: uncultured bacterium
Lineage: Bacteria
Description: partial 16S ribosomal RNA
Rfam family: Bacterial small subunit ribosomal RNA
Source: RNAcentral